GGGUGGAGGGCACAAUGAUGGCAACAGAUUCUCCAAAACUUUCCCUUUUCGGGAUUUGGUAUAACGGAGGGAAAACUGUGACACUGGAGCAGGACACUCUCAAGAUUUUUUGGGUGACAGAUGGAAGACUUGUGAGGAUCCUGAAGGGCAGGAUGGGGAGUUUGUUUCUAUCUUUGGUUAUCUAGCUGUAUGAGUGUAAAUAAGCCGUCAUAAAGCUAGAUAACCGAAAGUAGGAAUCACUUCCAAGGCUUCACCUUUGCCACAUGAUCCAUGGAGGGAGAAUGGCAGCCCGACACCCCCACAGCUCCACUCCUGGCUUUUAUUCCAGGAAACAUGCGAUAAUGUGAUAGAAACCCUGAAAACCGUGAGUAGAGACAGCAGACUGAAUCUCUGCAAAUAAGACGCAGGAGAAGCAUCAGUAUCAACAGCUUGUUAAUUUGAAUGUGCGUUUGAGAAGCUCGUCACCAUGUGGUACUCUCGCUAAUCAAGAGAAUAUACGAAUAUGACAAGGCCUAAUUGAGAUGAAAAUUUUGGCCCAAACGACAUCAGUUUCUUCAUUCACCACAAGCAAGAUACUGCUUUGUACUUGGAAGCCAUUUUGAUAGAAUGAAAAGAACAUUUUAAGAUGGCCGCUUGGGCAUGAGGUUAAAAGAAGAUCAAGGGAUCACGAGACAUCAUCACAAUCUCCUCUGACUGCUGGGAGACUUUCAGUCGUUGGGCAGCCUUUAUUUAUGCAAUUCAAGCAUGAAAAAUACAUCUUUCAGCUAUAAUGGACUAGAUAUCACAAAAGCAUGGGCUAUUUACAUUUACACAAUGAUGGACUGUUUCUAAUAUCAGAUAUCUACAAUGAGGUCCCCACGAUGACAAGCUGAAAUUACAGCUUCACUACAACAGACAAGCAAAUCUGUGGGACUGUUUCAGCAGAGAGUACUGCGCUGGCCAUGCAUUAUAAAUGACAAUAUUUCAGCAUAUCCACUUCAUCCUCUCCACCUAAGAAGAUCUAACAAAAAGUGGAUUCACAAAGAAGUUUAUCUGCCAGGCACCUCUUUCCGUUGCACAUCUUUAAAGUAGCUUCAAAACCAGUUAAUCACAAAAGACAUGACCAACCAUGUUUUAGAAGGGUGAACAAUUCAUUUGUCAAAAAAACAAAACAAAACAAAAAUAAAAGGUUCCAUGAUAUUCUACUUCACUGGCUGUUCAUAUUAAUACAAUGAAGUAUAGUGUGUUUUUUAUUGCCAUAGUUCCUGUGGUAAAAAUCCUCUUCAGACACCAGCAUAAGAAAUAUGCUAAUUGCUAAGGUUGUAUCGUUGCAGUAUUCUGUAGGAAAUAUUCCAUUAUUUUUAAACAGGAUUUACAGAGAUAUCUCCUUUGAAAUACAGUCUAAGUUUGUGUGUCACAAACAUAAAGGCUGACAAGCAAUUCUGAAUUUACCUGAAAAUCACUACAAGAGGUCACAUGCCGCAUACACCAUCCACAGGUUGAAGCAGCAAGUCAACAAGCAAUUCUUGACUGGAGGAUUCUCCCUGUGAGGCAACUCCUGAGGACAUGUGCUCCAAAUACCUCAUACAGAUCUAAAGUAGAAAUAACAUUUUUGAGAGAAAACUUAAUCAAAAGAUUAUAUAUCCUUAUUAGUGGCCAUUAAAAAAGAAACUAAUAAAAUUGUAUUAUACAUAUUAGUAAAUAAUACCCUUUUAAUUUUCUUUACCUUUGGCCACCAUUUUGUGGUGUUCCUUCGCUGAUCACCUGACAGGAAAUAAAUGCAGGUUUACCUGUAACAGGAAGACUGUAUUAAAAGAUGUAACCUAGCAAGUAUACGUGUCCCUGGUUUGUGUGUGAGCUCAGUGCCUAAUACAACCCAGAGCGACACACACAAGAACUUCAACUGGCAGUGUUUCAAUAUGGGAUUAUCCCUGACGUUUAAUGAGAAUACAAGAAGUUACUCAAAAUAAUUUGUCAUUUUGUGAACAUGAAAUGUUUUCAAUGUUCUAAACAGCAAAGAGUGGGUUCAACAUUAGUAUCAUGUGACAUAGCACCUCCAUCUUAUGAAAUAAUUUGUUUUAGACAUGAUACAUAAGUCUAGUAAGCCAAAUUUCAUCCAUGUUGAAUUACUGAAAUGUACCAGAUUUUAAAAUAUUCACUCAUAUCAUACUUCUCCAAAACGUAUGUCCCAAAUGGGUUCAUUCAUGUGUUCUUGAAAGCUUCUGUAUAUAUUUUUAUGGGAGAAUGUAGGAACACACAAGUAGUACAGUUAUUAUGCCUUUCCAUUUCCCAUGUAUUCUCUUCUUAUCUCUGUUACAAUACUGAAUUCUGAAUAUUGAAUUCAGAUUCUUUGGAAAAGAGGUUAUGUAUCAUCAAUUGGUUUGUGAAUUGCCCAUUAUCAAAUGUAUAUAUGUCCUUCAAUUUUUCAGAAAUAAACUGUGCUAUUAUAUCAUCAAAA
Molecule: long non-coding RNA, 2437 nt
Organism: Xenopus laevis (African clawed frog)
Lineage: Eukaryota; Metazoa; Chordata; Amphibia; Anura; Pipidae
Exons: 7
Source: RefSeq, a predicted model, not a curated record